GUGUACAACUGGGUUAUCAGGACAAAGCAAAAAGAUGCAACAGUGAUCACUUCAAAGUUUAGAAGAACAUGCGCUGCAGAAGGAUGCGUAGAGUUUGUAAAUUGCAAAGGGGAGUGUGAAACCUUGACCCAACUUUUGCCCCACAGAAAAUGUAAAAGGGCAGGGAAGCAGUCUUUCCUAUACACAAACCCCAAAUUAACCCGAGGGCUGUUCCUUCUGUGUGGCAGUAAAGUCUGUAGUUAUACUUCAGUGAGCAUCCUAGCUGGCCCUUGUGCAGCAGAGUGGUUAAUCAUGCUCAUGCCUUUCAAAGAAGACCUAAUUGAGAAACCAGGAUAGGAAGUUCUUAGAAGAAGAACUUGCUUGCUCAGUGGUACAAAGUAGAAAUGUGACAUCACUGCCAUGGGCAACAUUAAGUGAGGAAGUGACCGAGCUGCAGGGAGAUGCUACCCUUGAGAGCAGGGCAGCUGGAAAUUGCUUCUUGCUAAGACAUACUCAUGAGUGAGAGGAGUUAAAGGAACACAAGGGUUGUAGACAGAGAGUUGUGGUGAAUGGCACUAUGUCCAGGUGCAGGCUGGUGACAAGCAGUGUCCCCCAGGGGUCUGUCUUGGGACCGGUGUUUUUCAACAUCUUCAUCAGUGACAUCAAUGAUGGACUCGAGUGCAGAAAUGGUUACAAUCCCUUACAACUAUUGCUAAACUGUAGUUACUUUUCCCUUGUAUUCCUGAGAUGUCCUUGGUUCUCAGCCUUGCCUUCUCGUGCUGUUUAUCUUGCUCUGCAGCUUCUGCUUUGAAUAGUCUUUCUUGUAUUCCCACAGGCCCGAACUAUCAAUAAAGGAUAACAAUCAGAGGGGCAGAUCAGACUGGGGAGUUCUCUAGAAAUAUCCCUGACCUGGGCCCCAGGGAAGCAGCACACCUCCCUAUGGGUAGGGUCAGGCUGACAUACAGGGCCCUCUGUUCCUCUCAGCAGGGAGUCCCUAUGACAACCACCCUUCUUUCCCUCCUGGUGGAGGCAGUCUGGAGGUGUGGAUUUGACCGCCUCACCCUACACAACCUCACAGGCGACCUCCCAGCGCAUCCUCACUCACCUCUCCCUCAGGUUCCAGGGCCUCAAACCUAUUACAUAGAGACACCUGGGGAACUGAGGUAGGUCGGGAUGGGGGUUGCCCAUAUCGCUGAGCUGGGACCUGUUUCCACUCCUCCUCUUCAGUUGGCUCCCUCUGCUUGACUAUGGCAGGGGAGGGGGUCCACCACUGUUUGGGAGGUGUCACCCUGGUGUCUUUCUUGCAGAGAGUUACUCCAUCAAUCUAUCUCCUGAUUACACUCCCUGAUAUUUAUGGAACUGAUAUCAGGAAAAACUUUACAGAAAGGGUUGUUAAGCACUGGAACAGGCUCCCCAGGGAGACGGUUGAGUCACCAUCCCUGAAUCUGUUUAAAAACUGUUUGGAUGCGGUGCUCGGGGACAUGAUUUAGUGGUGAGUUAGGGCAGUAUGGUUUGGUUGCGGUUGGACUUGAUGACCUUGAAGGUCUUUUCCAACCUGAGCAAUUCUAUGAUUCUAUGAUCCUUAGUCUCUCUACCUCCUUGAGCUCCGCCACCACACUGAGCAGAUCAUCCACUGCUCACACCUCACACAGGUGGAAUCCCUACCACCCUUCACUGGCAGCACCAGGCUCAGGCCCUCUCUGCAGACAGAGACUUGAACUGCCACGUGUUGAGGCGGGCACUCCACCUGAGUCGCCACAUCCUUCCUCACUACAGCUUUCUGCCGAGUGGAGACCGGGGCGGGACCGUUGCUCGGAAAGCAGCAGGCAGCUGAACCCGUCCCCUGACAGGGCACAAGUACGCUGCCCUGCUCGCCUGCCCGCGCCCUCCUGACGCGCCACGCCCCGUUUGCCCGCUCUGUUCGCUGCGCUCCCUAGCGGCAAGUUUUAUACACGCACGGGGUGAUCCCGCCGCUGCUCCUGGCUCCGCCCCCGCGACGUCCGGACGCCGCUGCAACGCAGAGGGCGAUGGCGUCCGGCAGCUGCUCCGUGGAGGAGGCUGCCCCUCAGCCAACAGAGGCAAUGCUCUGCUUUCGGCGCGGAAUGUGUCCGCUCCAGAGCCGCGUACCUCGCCAAAAAGUGAAGCAGCGAGAGCCUGUCUGGAAGCCGUCCGGGCAGCACCGUGCUGGCAGCGCUGCACCGAGGGCCGUCCUGCGGCCAGCUCCGGGCUGAGGGCACUCGGCAUCCGCUGCUCUACGCGACUCCAAGGAGCGGGGCUGCCUGCAGCAGAGGUGGAGCAGUCAGCUCCUCACUCAACGUAGGCGCCCUCCAUUGCUCGUGCAGGGAAGCACACACUUGGAAGGUCGGGAAAAAGGGGAUUUGUUUUAAUCUAGGAGACGGAUUUAAUCAUGCCGCAGUAAUGCUCGUUACCUUUUAUUUAGUGGUUUCUUAUUAUUCCUCUUUUUUCUGUGUACAUUUAUCAAUUUUGUGAUUGUGCACGUCCCCGGGGUGGCUCUUCUGCUCCCUGCAAACAGCACCAGGAGGGCAGAGGGGAGCAGCAAAAGGUGGUUCCAAUCCAGCACUGCUUUUCCCCAGGUGGGAUCCCAGUCCCAGCUCCAUCUCCUGCCCAGCACAACAGUUUGCUGGGCCAGACGGGGUGCAGCAAGGGUAGCGGCUGUUCCCAUGCAUGCUGCAACCCAGGUUGGGCUCCGAGGGAUGCAGGAAGGGGUUGGAGCUGGGAAUGUGAGGAAGCGAGCAGAGGAGGUCAGCACGCUCUGCCAACCUGCUGGCUCUAUCUAAUACAGCAUGGCCAGGACUAUGUUUCUGCCCAGUCCUCAGAGAUGAAAUGACCUUGCUUCAUAGCUCUGCAUGUAUGCAUUCCUGUAUGCAAUAACAAUUCCCCUGCCUCCUUUUGAUUUUCCCAAUCAAAGACCUCUGUGCAGGUAAUUCCCUUAAUUCUCUUGUAUACCCCACAUCUCCACCAGCUCCCAUACUUGCAUAGGGCAUCCAUCAGACAAGAUGCUGUAGAGGCACUUUUAAUGUCCCCCUUUGUUGGCUGGCAGUUUGGCUCAAUUGCUCACCUGCUUUGAGGCGUGUGGCAGCCCCUUACCUACAGGACUGGGCUUUCGUGGGUGUGCAGACUCCUCCCAGGGUUUCUGUUGACAAUCUCCCUGCAACUUAAGUUCCCUUUUGUACACACCUCCGGGCCCUGAGCGUGUUCUGCACUUGCACCAGCUCCAGCACCAGGCUCCAGUUCAGUUCCCUGCACUUGCAUGCUGCACUCCUUCUUGUGUUUGCAUCCGAGAGGACAGGGGUACGUGAAUGUCCUUCAGCCUUCAGUCCUUCAAGAACUGUUGCACUCUGGAUCCAUACCACAAGCCUCCAGCGAAACUUCUGCCUUUCACCUGUGACCAAUGCAGCCUGCAGGAGUGCAGGAGAUGGCCACAGCCCAUCCAUCUCAAGUAGGGGAGUGGGGAAGCAGUCAGGAGCCCGUGAGCUUUGCGGAGGUGGCCGUGUAUUUCAGCAGGGAGGAGUGGGCGCUGCUGGACCCUGCGC
Molecule: long non-coding RNA, 3533 nt
Organism: Numida meleagris (helmeted guineafowl)
Lineage: Eukaryota; Metazoa; Chordata; Aves; Galliformes; Numididae
Exons: 3
Source: RefSeq, a predicted model, not a curated record